This is a non-coding RNA of Phoenix dactylifera (date palm), 3769 nucleotides long. The record is from RefSeq and is a predicted model, not a curated record. NCBI's taxonomy places the organism in Eukaryota, Viridiplantae, Streptophyta, Magnoliopsida, Arecales, Arecaceae.
AUUAUGCUGCUGCAAAACGCAUUCUGAGAUAUCUUCAAGGAAGUCAAAGGCAAGGCAUAAAAUAUAUUAAAGAAGAAAAUAACAAUCUUGUUGGUUAUUCCGAUAGUGACUGGGCUGGUUCAAUUGAUGAUAGAAAAAGCACGUCUGGCUAUAUUUUUUGUCUUGGUUCAAAGAUGAUUUCAUGGAGUUCAAAGAAACAAAAAUCAAUUGCUUUAUCUUCAGCAGAAGCAGAGUACAUCGCAGCUACAGAUGCUGCAUGUGAAGCAGUUUGGUUAAGAAGAGUUCUCUUGGAUCUACAACAAACUCAAGUUCAACCAACUAUCAUUUAUUGUGACAGCAUGUCAGCAAUUGCUUUGUCUAAAAAUCCAGUCUUCCAUGCAAGGUCCAAGCAUAUUGAACUUCGACAUCAUUUCAUUCGGAAUUUGGUAAACAAAGAAGAAAUCAUUUUGAAGUAUGUUGGCACAAAUGAGCAAGCUGCAGAUUUUCUUACCAAAGCUGUCACCAUAGAACAAUUCAGAAAGGUUAAGAAUCAAUUGCAAAUUAAGGAGGAGUAUUAGGAAGUAAUUUGCAAUCAAUGCACAUGACUCUUCGGUGUUGAUACAACUUAGCAUUCCAAAGAGUUAUUUUGUAAUCCAAAGAGUCAUUUUGUAAUCCAAAGAGUCAUUUUGUAAUCCAAAGUGUCACCUUGGAAAUCUCAGAAGUACUUGUAUUUCAAAGAGUCAUUUUAGUACUCCAAGGGCAUUAAAUGUUACUUAAAUUGUCAUUCUAUAUAAGAAUGGCUUUAGCAAGAUUGUAAGAUGCAGAAAAAAACUAUGAAUGAAAAAUAUCUCUUGCUUCAUUCCUAAUCCUAUCCCAUCAACUUCACACCUUGUUCCAACAAUACUUGCUCGUCUUAGAUGAUGUAUGGAAUGAGGAUACGGAAGAAUGGGAGAGGCUUAGAGUCCCCUUGCUAUAUGGAGCCAAAGGGAGCAAGAUACUAGUGACCACUAGGAGUGAGGAAGCUGCGCAUAUUAUGAGAACCUCGACUACGUACUAUUUGCAGGGUUUAUUAGAUGAUGACUGCUGGUCUUUGUUCUGCCAGUAUGCAUUUGCCCGAGAUCCAAAUGCAUUUUCUGAUCUAGAUGAUAUCGGAAGACGGAUUGUGAACAAGUGCAAGGGCUUGCCUCUGGCAGCGAUUGCUUUGGGCCAUAGGAUGCGCAGGGUAGCUGACAGAAGCAAGUGGGAAGCAAUUCUCCAAGACGAGAAGUGGGAAUUCUCUGGUGGGAGCAGCGACAUCUCUCGUGCGGUUAGCUCGAGCUACCAGCAAUUGCCUGCACAUCUUAAGCCAUGCUUUGCAUAUUGUUCCUUAAUUCCGAAAGGCUACGAGUUCGAGAAGGAGUUCGUAGUCCAACUGUGGAUAGCACAAAAUUUCAUUCAGCCAAGUGGGGGAGAACGAAUCGAAGACAUAGGCAGCUACUACUUUGAUUCGCUUGUGCAGAAGUCAUUCUUCCAGUUCUCACACUUUGACUAUAAAAGCAGCCGACCUAGGUACAAAAUGCAUAAUCUUAUUCAUGACUUUGCUCAACAUGUAUCAAGGGAGGAAUGUUGUAUAGCGGAGCUUGGCAAACCAUGCAAUCUCUCUGCAAAGACUCGGCAUCUGUCGUUGAUCUGUGACCGGUUUCUGCGGGAUAACUCGACGCAAUCCCCUCUGUCUAAUCAAAGGAAGAAUAUUUUUAAGACAUUAUAUGGAUACAGUGGCUUGUACACGCUCCUGCUGGCUGGUGGAUCCACAACACAUGAGAUAAGGGUCCCCAGCAAUCUUGCAAAGAGAUUGGAAAGACUACGGACCUUGGAUCUGAGCAACUGUGGCAUAAGUACGCUGCCUGAAUCAAUAGGUGAUUUGAAGCACCUUCGGUGCCUCCAGCUUCGCAACACAAAUAUUAGAAGGCUGCCUGAAUCAGUGGGUUGCCUUUACAAUCUUCAGAUAUUGGGUCUUAGAAAUUGUGAUAUUCUGGAGUUGCCUUGGAGCACAAGAAAUCUCCGAAAACUGCGCCAUCUCGAUCUGCAUCUUGAUGAAAAUUCAGUGAUGGCACAGGCUGCCAUGUCCAGAGGGAAUAGUCUGAGGUCCAUGCCACCAAAAAUUGGACUUUUAACUGAUCUCCAAACAUUAUCAAGAUUUGUUGUAGGUACACAGCAUAGAUGUGGGUUAAGAGAGCUGAAGGAUUUGAACAAUCUCCAUGGAGAGCUUCAAAUUUCAAACCUUCAUUUUGUUUCAAAAGCAGCAGAAGCCAAGGAGGCGAAUUUAGCUGGAAAGCGAUACAUUCACAGGUUAGAGCUACGAUGGAGCUAUGCACUCGGUGUGGAUGAGGAGAAAGUUCUGGAUAGCCUCCAACCUCACACUAACCUCAAAGAGCUAAGGAUAGUAGGCUAUGGAGGUGCUUCAUUUCCGGAUUGGAUAUGGCAUUCUUCCUUCUCCAAUCUAGUAAUCUUGUCGCUCUCCGACUGUGGUAAAUGUGAAAAACUCCCACCGCUUGGACAGUUGCCACUUCUGAAGGAACUCUAUGUAAAAGGAAUAGAUUCAGUGAAGACUGUGGAUUGCUCAUUUUGUGGUCAUGACAGAAGAAAUUUCCCAUCAUUGCAAAAGCUACAUUUUGAGAGCAUGCACAGCUUGCAGGUUUGGUGUGGAUAUGAUAAUUGCCUGCUUCCUUUGCUUCGAGAGCUGGUUUUUAAGAACUGCACUGGUCUUCGACAACUUACUCAUAAUCUUCCUUCCCUGUCAAAAUUGGAGAUUGAGGGAUCCCCAAAAUUAGUUGGCUUGCGAAGCUUCCCAUCGCUCCAAUCUUUAGAGGUGAAGGCCAGCGGCGACUGGGUUUUCGACUCAUGGUCCAGUCUCGCUUCUCUUUCCUCCCUGACCCUCAGCGGGUUGCCAACAAUAAGCUUGCCUUCAGAACUCCAGCUUGGCCGUGCUUCUAUACGCUGCUUGGAAAUCAGUUACUGUGACCACUUGGUAUCAUUGCCAGACAAUUGGCUCCCCACUGACCUUACCUAUUUUGCGAUCAAACAUUGUUCUCAAAUCCGUGCACUACCAAGGGGACUGCAGAACCUAAGGAAGCUGGAAGACUUGGAAAUCCAGAACUGUGGGCAGCUAGAGUACCUACCAGAUGGGCUCAAGAACCUGACAUCACUCAUGCGUUUCGAGAUUUCAGACUGUCCUCAGCUUUUAUGCUUGCCAAAUGAUGGUCUGCCAACUAAACUUCAGUUCUUGAGCAUCAACAACUGUCCGGAGCUCGGGCGACGGUGCAAAGUUGAGGAAGGUGAAGACUGGCCCAAGAUUGAGCACAUCUUCUCGGUAUGGAUUGAUAAGCAACUAGUGGGUCAUCUAGUUCAGCCUCAAUACGAAGAUCAGAGCACGCGCCCACUGUAUGAAGGGCAAAGCUCAGGGCAAUAAAUCGGAAUGAUUGCAAAGGUGCCAUCACCUCUAUCAUGGUAUGCUAUCCUAUAAAGGCAGGUAUCAAGGCAAUGAAUUCAUUUCAUAGUUUGAUGUUUCUAUCGUGAUGUGGAGCAGCAAAGUCUCACGGAUGGGUAUCAUAUGAUGAGGAGCAUAGCUUCAGAUGCUCUCUCUCUCUCUCUCUCUCUCUGUGUGUGUGUGUGCGCGCGCGCGCGCGCGCUUUAUAAGUCAAGAUCUUGGAAGUGUCAGGAGCAUGGCUUUUGGUGCUUGCAGUAUUCCUUGUGAGGACUUUGAUGCAGUUACAUUCUAAGUUCCAUACUCUGUACUUUGAUUUGUCAUGAA